CCUACGGGUGGCUGCAGUGGGGAAUAUUGGACAAUGGGCGAAAGCCUGAUCCAGCCAUGCCGCGUGUGUGAAGAAGGCCUUCGGGUUGUAAAGCACUUUCAGUGGGGAAGAAAGCCUUGGGGCUAAUACCCUCGAGGAAGGACAUCACCCACAGAAGAAGCACCGGCUAACUCCGUGCCAGCAGCCGCGGUAAUACGGAGGGUGCGAGCGUUAAUCGGAAUUACUGGGCGUAAAGCGCGCGUAGGCGGUCUGAUAAGCCGGUUGUGAAAGCCCCGGGCUCAACCUGGGAACGGCAUCCGGAACUGUCAGGCUAGAGUGCAGGAGAGGAAGGUAGAAUUCCCGGUGUAGCGGUGAAAUGCGUAGAGAUCGGGAGGAAUAACAGUGGCGAAGGCGGCCUUCUGGACUGACACUGACGCUGAGGUGCGAAAGCGUGGGUAGCAAACAGGAUUAGAUACCCCAGUAGUC
This 465-nucleotide ribosomal RNA is filed under the name Vreelandella stevensii. Its description in RNAcentral is "partial 16S ribosomal RNA". It matches the Rfam family "Bacterial small subunit ribosomal RNA", at positions 338 to 795 of the family's 1533-position model. Lineage: Bacteria; Pseudomonadati; Pseudomonadota; Gammaproteobacteria; Oceanospirillales; Halomonadaceae. The record is from RNAcentral.